This 468-nucleotide ribosomal RNA is filed under the name uncultured bacterium. RNAcentral's name for it is "partial 16S ribosomal RNA". It matches the Rfam family "Bacterial small subunit ribosomal RNA", at positions 28 to 507 of the family's 1533-position model. The record is from RNAcentral.
GAUGAACGCUGGCGGCGUGCUUAACACAUGCGAGUCGAACGGAAAGGCCCAAGCUUGCUUGGGUACUCGAGUGGCGAACGGGUGAGUAACACGUGGGUGAUCUGCCCUGCACCUCGCGACAAGCCUGGGAAACUGGGUCUAAUACCGGAUAGGACGAUGGCUUGGAUGCCAUUCUUGAAAGUUUUUUCGGUGUGGGAUGAGCUCGCGGCCUCUCAGCUUGUGGGUGGGGUAAUGGCCUACCAAGGCGUCGAGGGGUAGCCGGCCUGAGAGGGGGUACGGCGACAUUGGGACUGAGAUACGGCCCAGAGUGCUCAGGGAGGCAGCAGUGGGGAAUAUUGCACAAUGGGCGCAAGCCUGAGGGAGGGAAGCCGCGUGGGGGAUGAGGGCCUUCGGGUUGUAAACUCCUUUCGCUAGGGACGAAGCGUUUUUGUGACGGUACCUGGAGAAGAAGCACCGGCUAACUACGUG